GAGUCUAGCAUGUGCGCGAGUCAUUGGGACUUGCUAAACCUAAAGGCGUAAUGAAAGUGAAGGGCCGCCUCGCGCGGCCCGAGGGAGGAUGGGCGGCGUCACGAUGCCGCCCCGCACUCCCGGGGCGUCUCGUUCUCAUUGCGAGAAGAGGCGCACCCAGAGCGUACACGCUGGGACCCGAAAGAUGGUGAACUAUGCCUGGUCAGGACGAAGUCAGGGGAAACCCUGAUGGAGGUCCGUAGCGAUUCUGACGUGCAAAUCGAUCGUCGGAACUGGGUAUAGGGGCGAAAGACUAAUCGAACCAUCUAGUAGCUGGUUCCCUCCGAAGUUUCCCUCAGGAUAGCUGGCGCUCGCUUUGCGAGUCUCAUCCGGUAAAGCGAAUGAUUAGAGGCAUUGGGGUCGAAACGGCCUCAACCUAUUCUCAAACUUUAAAUGGGUGAGAUCUCCGGCUUGCUCGAACUUGAAGCCGCGAGAUAAUUUUCAAAAAGGAUCAGAGUGCCAAGUGGGCCACUUUUGGUAAGCAGAACUGGCGCUGUGGGAUGAACCAAACGCAGAGUUAAAGCGCCUAAAUCGACGCUUAUGGGAUACCAUGAAAGGCGUUGGUAACUUAAGACAGCAGGACGGUGGCCAUGGAAGUCGGA
This 641-nucleotide ribosomal RNA is filed under the name Enochrus sp. NLG-2014. RNAcentral's name for it is "eukaryotic LSU rRNA". It matches the Rfam family "Eukaryotic large subunit ribosomal RNA", at positions 671 to 1265 of the family's 3401-position model. The record is from RNAcentral. Lineage: Eukaryota; Metazoa; Arthropoda; Insecta; Coleoptera; Hydrophilidae.